CCCGAAAGGGUAGUUGAGAUGGUUAAAACGUAGAGAGCAAAACACUUCCUGGCUGUAACCCUUUUUUAAUGAAUGCUAUUCCCUCCGUUAACUCUCCCUUUAGGGGGUGGGGGGCUAAGGUGCCGUAAAUGCGCGCUACUUCGAGUCGCCGGUUCGAUUCCGGCUCCCGGAA
This 172-nucleotide transfer RNA is filed under the name Mucilaginibacter lappiensis. RNAcentral describes it as "tRNA-OTHER". Lineage: Bacteria; Pseudomonadati; Bacteroidota; Sphingobacteriia; Sphingobacteriales; Sphingobacteriaceae. The record is from RNAcentral.